Molecule: ribosomal RNA, 246 nt
Filed under: uncultured Lactobacillus sp.
Lineage: Bacteria; Bacillati; Bacillota; Bacilli; Lactobacillales; Lactobacillaceae
Description: partial 16S ribosomal RNA
Rfam family: Bacterial small subunit ribosomal RNA
Source: RNAcentral
CGUGGGUAACCUGCCCAAGAGAUCGGGAUAACACCUGGAAACAGAUACUAAUACCGGAUAACAACAGAUGAUGCCUAUCAACUGUUUAAAAGAUGGUUCUGCUAUCACUCUUGGAUGGACCUGCGGUGCAUUAGCUAGUUGGUAGGGUAACGGCCUACCAAGGCGAUGAUGCAUAGCCGAGUUGAGAGACUGAUCGGCCACAUUGGGACUGAGACACGGCCCAAACUCCUACGGGAGGCAGCAGCC